GGCAGAUCACUGUGAGUUUUGAUUUGCCUCCCUAAUAUGUCUAUCAAGAAGUUAGUUGGCUUUGGUGGUAUGUGCUAUUCACUACAUGAUUCUUUUGGUUGUGACUCAAAGUUGGAAAUGUGUGUACAGAUCUGUGGCCCUCCUGCAUCUAUUCAGACCCACAGUGGUCCUGGUUUGUACAUGGAGAACCUGUUCCAAGACCCCCAGAGGAUGCCCACAACUGUGGUUUAUGAGUAGCUGGCUCGCUCGAGCAAGGUGGCACUGCCAUGUUCCUGGAUGCCAACUUUCUGUGACAUGGACUGGAGGCAAGACCAGAAGGUCAGUAGUUUAAAAUUUCUGAAAUUGGCACUUUUAUUAAAAACAAAUUG
RNAcentral lists this long non-coding RNA (368 nucleotides) under Fukomys damarensis (Damara mole-rat). Its description in RNAcentral is "lncRNA (ENSFDAG00000027110.1)". Lineage: Eukaryota; Metazoa; Chordata; Mammalia; Rodentia; Bathyergidae. The record is from RNAcentral.